Molecule: ribosomal RNA, 231 nt
Filed under: uncultured bacterium
Lineage: Bacteria
Description: partial 16S ribosomal RNA
Rfam family: Bacterial small subunit ribosomal RNA
Source: RNAcentral
CGGGUGAGUAACGCGUGGGUAACCUGCCUCAUACAGGGGAUAACAGUUAGAAAUGACUGCUAAUACCGCAUAAGCACACAGUACCGCAUGGUACAGUGUGAAAAAACUCCGGUGGUAUGAGAUGGACCUGCGUCUGAUUAGCUAGUUGGCGGGGUAACGGCCCACCAAGGCGACGAUCAGUAGCCGACCUGAGAGGGUGACCGGCCACAUUGGGACUGAGACACGGCCCAA